GGCAAUUUUGAUAGAGGUUUGUCCUGUUAUGGCAUUUAGUCCUGAAAAUUUUCUUCUUAUAUGUACUUGUAUGUACUCGAUAUCUUAAAUGGCUAUGGACCAUGACUUGUUGUGCAGCUUUUCCCCAUCUAAGAAACCUUUUCCAUAAACAAAUAAAGUAAACACUGAUGCUUUUCUGCUGGUAUGGUAAUCAAAUUAUUGGUGGUUUUUUGAGAAUUUAAUAAAGGCUUAGUUGAGA
RNAcentral lists this unclassified non-coding RNA (238 nucleotides) under Hevea brasiliensis (rubber tree). Lineage: Eukaryota; Viridiplantae; Streptophyta; Magnoliopsida; Malpighiales; Euphorbiaceae. The record is from RNAcentral.